UCUUUCCUCGAAGAUGAGUUACAAGAUCGCGUUUCAGCUCCUCGUCCUCACUCACGUCUUGGAGGGCUCAAGACUUCUGCAGUUUGACAACACUGCCAGUUCUGUGGGAGUAGCCAACAGAGUCAGUUCUGUGGAAACUGCCAACAGAGUCAGUCCUUUGGAAACUACCAACACUGUCAGUACUUUGGAAGCAGCCAACAGAGUCUGUUCGGUGGAAACUUCCGUCACUGCCAGUACUUUGGAAACUGCCCACACAAUCAGUACGCUGGACUACAACAGCCCAACAAGAAUCAAAAUCGACCUCGUUUAGCGAGCUAAAACACGACGGGUCUCUGAUUACGUCAAAACUAAACAUUUUGUCCCUCACGAGAAAGGAUCUGGGUCUCAUGGAACAAAAUCUGGCUGGGAUAAUGUGGGGAGCUUUGCAUCGGAAAGACUGUCACGCGGUUUUGUUGACGUGGAAUGAGCGUCUCACUAGGAUCAUUCAUGUUAUCAGGUAUGGAUUCCUUCUGUCGGAGCCGGUAACCGUCGUAGAUCUGUCUCUUCUGGGAGACAGGGAUGAGAGACACCUUCCUGGUGAGAUCUGGAGGAACCCAAAAAUCACUUGUCGCACAGUGUUUGUGGACUGCUUCCCUGACUCGAGUUCGUCCUGUUUCAGAUUUCUGGAAUCUGCCAAACUGUGGAUGUGGCCGGAUACUCAAGUCGUCUUUGUGGGGAACGAGAUCAAAGCCACGUCCUUCCUGGGACACAGGGCUCUUCGCAACACGAUACAGCCUCUCCUCUUCAGCCUGGAGGAAGAUGAACCCAAAAACAUCAUUUCCUCGUCUGUCGAACUUUCGUCUGAAAGGAUCAUCCUAGCCGGGUACACCCGAUGCCUUUAUUGUCAAAACGGGUAUUCUAAGGUCGUGUUCCUCUUCCGUCGACCUCUCGAAGAAAUUGACCCCAAGCGGCUGAAUAUAUCUGUUGGUGAGUGGCUGUUCGUGCAAUUGUUUGUGAAGUCGUUUGCUUCAACGCAAC
Macrobrachium nipponense is the source of this 1017-nucleotide long non-coding RNA. RefSeq lists it as uncharacterized. NCBI's taxonomy places the organism in Eukaryota, Metazoa, Arthropoda, Malacostraca, Decapoda, Palaemonidae. The transcript is spliced from 4 exons. The record is from RefSeq and is a predicted model, not a curated record.